This 253-nucleotide ribosomal RNA is filed under the name uncultured bacterium. Its description in RNAcentral is "partial 16S ribosomal RNA". It matches the Rfam family "Bacterial small subunit ribosomal RNA", at positions 524 to 776 of the family's 1533-position model. The record is from RNAcentral.
AACGUAGGUGGCAAGCGUUAUCCGGAUUUACUGGGCGUAAAGGGUGUGCAGGCGGGGUAGCAAGUGGGGUAUGAAAUCUCCAGGCUUAACCUGGAGGGGUUAUGCCAGACUGCUGCUCUAGAGGACGAGAGAGGGGGGUGGAAUUCCGGGUGUAGUGGUGAAAUGCGUAGAUAUCUGGAGGAACACCGGUGGCGAAGGCGGCAUCCUGGACCAACACUGACGCUGAUGAGCGAAAGCCAGGGGAGCAAACGGG